AUUUAAGCAUAUAAAUAAGCGGAGGAAAAGAAACCAACAGGGAUUCCCCCAGUAACGGCGAGCGAAGUGGGAAUAGCUCGAGCAUGAAAUCUCCGGCAGUUAUGCCGGCGAAUUGUGGCCGAGAGUGGCAGCUUGGUUCUGGUUCCGAAGCCGAAGUUUGCCUGGAAAGGCACGUCAGAGAGGGCGAGAACCCCGUGCGUGGCUGAGGACGCCAGGACCGCCAACUGCACACGGAGAGUCGGGUUGUUUGGGAAUGCAGCCCAAAGUUGGUGGUAGACUCCAUCUAAAGCUAAAUACCGGCACGAGACCGAUAGCAAACAAGUACCGUGAGGGAAAGGUGAAAAGUACUUUGAAAAGAGAGUCAAAGAGAACGCGAAACCGUUAGGAGGGAAGCGAAUGCAGCCAGUGCGAGUCCCGUCAGGUUCAGGAGCAGCGGAAAGCGUCGCUCUGGGGUGGCCUAGAUGGCGCCCGAGGGUAGUCGCGCGGCCGCGCAUCUGCACUCCUGCGGGGCUCUUGCCAACGGCAGUGGUCGGUGCCUGCGAGCCGUCGGGGAGGUGCCCUCACACUCUUCGGAGGCGGGAGGAACAUAUAACCCUUCGGCGACGGGCGUCGGCGACUGAGGAGACGAUCGCUCUUUUGAUCUGACGACGCAGGCUCCCCCUCGCGGGGCGGGCUGGCCCCCCUCUCGGACGUCCGGUCUCGCGACCCAGGACUGCGUGCAGUGCUGGGACGCGUGCGCCUUCGACCGGGGGGGAAGGGUGCAACUGCGUCUGGCGGUGGCAAAA
Molecule: ribosomal RNA, 785 nt
Filed under: Scopalina jali
Lineage: Eukaryota; Metazoa; Porifera; Demospongiae; Bubarida; Dictyonellidae
Description: partial large subunit ribosomal RNA
Rfam family: Eukaryotic large subunit ribosomal RNA
Source: RNAcentral